This is a long non-coding RNA of Strigops habroptila (Kakapo), 7733 nucleotides long. RefSeq lists it as uncharacterized. The transcript has 2 exons. The record is from RefSeq and is a predicted model, not a curated record. Lineage: Eukaryota; Metazoa; Chordata; Aves; Psittaciformes; Psittacidae.
GACGCGUUCCCCGGGGGCGCGCGGCGGAGCGGCCUUCUCCCGCCGCGCCGCCCCGCCCCGCCCCGCCGCGCGUUACCUGCGAGGAGGCGCGGCGGGGGCGCCGUCUGCGGGUCAUGGUACGCUGCUGCUUCUUCCCCAGGACGCUUUCGCGUCGCCGCGCUCCGGAGCUGCUACGGUUGCUCUGGGUGUGUUACAUCAGUAGAAGCAUUACAGUUCACAGGAGGGAUCUACAGUCGAAGGCUGUUGCACUGCAAAGCAGAGUGAGGGAGGAAAACCACAGAGCUGUAUUCAAAUCACUGCUGUGACUGCUGCUGCUGCCGAACGGGAACACAAGGGCUAUAAGGUGACAACAGCCCCCUUACGCAGGCUGACUGGCAGGCCACUGAGCUGCGCCCUGUAGCUUCUGUCGGAACGCAGACACUGCUCACCAGGAACAACACACAGGACUGAAGUCGUCUUCAAAGUUAGGAGAGCUUUGUUAAGGAAAAUUGUGUUAAAAAACACCUGUAUGGAAUUGAAUGUAUGGAAAAAUUUAGUUGCAAGACAGCUGGGAAGUAAAUGGAAAAGAGGUAGGGAGAUAAAUUGAAACUAGGUAUUUUAUUAAGACUGUUUAUUGUGCCUAGAGAGAUACCCAAAACAGCGUUUUGUAACAGUCCUGUCUUUCAUCUUUUAAUGGGCUUUUCAGUUGUCCAGCACCCAAGUUAAAGUGGUUAAAAACCUUAUCUGCAUCUAGUCUGUUCUGUGAAACACACCAAAAGACUUACCUGACUGUGGCUGAGAGAGGCCUGUACACCAACUGAAACCAGAAACAAGCCACCAUAUAAAAUUAAUCUGCUUCCCAGCCACUCUGGAAAAGUUUCAGAUGUGUUGUGUCCAGUUCCGGUGCAUUUGCAGAGCAUGGAACUUCGUUACUGACAAAAAUAAUCAUUCUUAUGUUCCAGUUUUUGAGUGUACCUGGUCCUUACAGGACACGGUAUCAUUAAUUAAGUAGUAUGAGAUUAUUUCAUGUCUUGGAGUAUUUCUUACCAGAAGAGGCAUACAGUUACAAGAAACUGCACUUUUUCAAUGCACAGAGGAUAAGUACUGCAGCUACUAGCACCACUGGUAACUGCAUUCUGCAUGUAACAGCAGUCUUCAAGGAUAUCUUAAAAUGGAAGAGAGUUUGAGAUCUUAGAGAAAUUAGAGAUUUGAAAAUAAUAGAAGUUACAAUAUUAGAAAGAACAUAUUGCACUUAUAUAUUUGCCAAAAGAAGUGGAAUCUUCAAAGCAUUUAGUAAAAACAACAGACUUUACUCAUUACUCAUUAGGUGGUUUGUAGGCUUCUGAAAUUCCCACUUUGUUUUUUUUCCCAGCUAUAGUACAGCACGCAGAAUAAAUCACUCACAGGUGUUGAGGGAUGGAUUUUAAUUAAAUUAUAUCUUUCUGCCUUCACCACUACAUAAUAUUUUCCGUAUUAUCAUUACACACAAUAAAAAAAAUGACUUGGAGAAGGUUGCAUAACUCUUUCUGUUCCAGAGCCGUAUGCUCGCUUCUGGGCAAUGGGCUGGAUUACACAAAUUCACAAACUAUUUGGAAAUUGGCAGAAAGAGGCUUCAGUGAAAAAUGAAAGAGACAAACCCAAGUUUAAACUCGCUUUUCUCUGUUAAAACAUUAAAAUACAGAAAUAAACAGAUUUGCAUCUGAAAUAAGCCUGCAUCUGACAUAAGGCAUGCAGCCUUGUCUCACAGAGUCUUGGCUGGAAUGAGAAAAGCUUUAUCUUUUAAUGAGUCUAACAUACUUCCGUCUGGGGUAUGCUGCCAAAUCCAUAAACUCUGUAGAUUUCAACAUAGCAAGUGCUGGGAUACUGCUUUCAGGCUCUUGCUGCUUCACUAAGUUUAUCUAAGCAUCUCCCCUCUACCAAAAUAGAUGCACUCUAUUUGAGUAUCUGUAACCUGUACACAGAAUCGCUAAUUGCAAUAAUUUCAGUGGUUCAGAGCCUACCUCCAAGCAGUAGCAGUUCAGCCAAAGAGAGAUCCUGAAUAAUUAUAUUGCACAGACAACAACGGUGUCUUUCUAACCUCAGGAAUUAAUGCUUGACAGAAGCAGUAACAGCUCUCAUGCUUCAGUCCAAAACAUUGUUUUGGGGUUGUUUGGUUGGUUUUUUUUCCCCUAACUGCUGGAUUGGUUUUAUUUGGUUUCCUUGCUUUAACAGGGACUGACAGGAUGAUGUGUUGAAGGCAGUGGUCAUGGCUGCUUUUUGAGACACCCCUAAUGCUCCCAGAUAUAUAAUAUUAGUCUAAUACAACUUUAAAUUUUUUAACCUUAUCUUCAGGGUGUAACUGCAAGAACAGAAAGCCCCAGCAGUUGUUAGGAGUCCAGAUGCAGCCUCAAGCCAAUGGCUAGAAAGAAUUACAAACAGUAAGGAGAUGGGGAUAAGAAUUUAGAUUGUCACCUUGAAAAUAAUAGCAUUGCUCUCAGCCAGCAAAAGAAAAGAUGCCAUUUAUGAAUCUAAGUAAACUGGCUUCAAAUAGCUAUGUUCAGGGCUUCACUAUGACUACCAGAAUGAAACCUCCUGGCUUUCACUGUCGUUCAGCAGGACUAGGAUAAGCAGACUUUCAGUUUCAGCACAUUUAUUUAGGAAGUAGCACUACUGUUUGCAUUAAUUUUAAGAACUUGAAUUAUGUCCACGAGAAAUUAAAUGGGAUAUUUACAUAUUUAUUGUUCCAUCAUCUGGUAUACAACACCUGGGGUAUUUUUAUUUAUUUUCAGUACCAGCAGCAAUUGCAUAGGCUUCAGGUUCAAUGGAAAGGCUCUUAGUUUGGACAUUUUAUCUGGUAGACAGACAAGAAAACAGUAAGAACGGGACAAAUGAAAUAUUUUAUUGUGAAGCUAAAGCUGUGUGACUGCUCAUCAUGCUUUUUUACAUUGCUUAUUAAUAAAAUGGUGUUUAACAUUUCAGAAAACAUAUUAAAAGAACAAUGAAACAAAAGUGCUCCAAAACAACAAAAUACAAGAAUUAAUCCCAUCCCAGACUGGAGUCCAAUAUAUUUAAUGGGGGUGGGGUUUACUCUUUUGUCUCCACCUUUGGUCUUUGUCACUUUAAUCCAGAUUUCUGAAAAACACUGGCUAGCCCUUCACAUGAAUAAAAAUUAGAAUCAUGGCAAAAACCAGUUUCUGUAUUUCCAGUCCCUCUGAUAGGUGUGCGACUAUUAGAUAAAGUACUUACUUCCCCACUCCUAAUGGUAAAGAACUCACAGAACUGGGAGGCUACGCCCCUAGCCUCUUAGAAGAAUACACCUGUAUUAACCAGCUACAAAGAAUGCUGACUUUUUUCCUCAAAUCCACUUCUCUGAAACAGGACUAAGUGGUGAAUCUUAUGAAGGUGAGGAGAGUCUUACAGCAAAACAAGAUUGAUCACUGUAGUUUCCAGACAUCAUGUCAAGAAUUUGCAAAUCGAAAUAUCAAACUCUGCAGAACCCAGUGUUUAGCCAAUAUAUUUAAUCCACUGGAGUGUAACUUGCCGAUUAUUGCCGAACUCAGGAGGUAGUUAUUGACAAGUAAACAGUUUCCACUCUAAGACAGUUAACGAUUUACAUGAGAAGCAGGAAAAACACAAUGCAUAUUUCCCCAUACUUCAGAAGAUGAUUUUGUAUUUGCAGGAAGCAACGGUUUAACUUCCUCAUCCUGUGGAAUUGUAGUUACGAUAUUUGAAAGAAAAAAUACUGAAAAGAGUAUUUCAAGAAAAAACUCUAAAAGAACAUAACUGAUUCUUUGGUCAUCUCUUGGGAUGACCAACAGAUCAUGAAAAUUCACAGAGGUGAGUAAAACAACAUCCAACACUAAAUAGCAGCUUCAGAGAACCCAACAAUGAAACCAGCAACUGCCUCUAAUUAGCACUACGACUGAGAUAACUAGUUGCAUUCACUACCUGCUUGAUGCUUUUCAUUCUACUUUGGAUAUCUGAUAGAAGUCCCCAACAACUAAAACCAUCACAGAAGCUUGAGACUGCCACAGACAAUGAAUGAAAAUCUGCAACCUACCAUAGCACUUGCCACCUCCCAAAGCUGCCACACACACAAGCAUCACUAAAGCACUGGAGUAGCCAGAUAAGCACAUCUUAAGCGCAACAAUGCACUAUCCAUUUCUUGGGUAGGAAAGCACUGUAAGAAUCUAGGGCCCAAAUUCUCACAUGGGUGGUUAAGGAAGCCCCAAGAAGAAUGCUGCUUUCCAUACCAGUUGCAGAACAGACAUCCCAGUUAAGUUUGCUAGCAUAUCUCACUCGAGCAUUCCCAGUGCAAGUACUUAAAUUUCACAAGAUGGACUUGGCAGCAGUGCCAAGAAGAGCUAAAAAAAUGCUUGUUUAGAAUAGAAAAACUAUUUAUUCUACACCAGAAGGUAAGGUUAAUUGUCUAAGUAUAAAAUCUGUCAUUUUGAAAACAUAUGAGAGCAUCCUAACAGUGAAAUCUGCAAUGGCCUCUAAUUAGUGCAGCGACAACAAAUUCUUCCCUCUAUUGAGAUCCCAUUCUUCUCCAUUUUGAAGUGUUACUAUCACAUUUAUCAUCUACAUAAAGUAAGUUGCAGGGCCAUAUUUAACAAAAUUGUUUUAGUGACUGACUUUCUGAAGUAGUUAGUAAGACAUCUCAGGGGCAGAAUGCCUUGUUUCUAACAACCUAAGCUGUGUAAAGUCUAAGAAACUAACAGGACACAGACUUACAUGUACAUAAAUAUCCUAGUUUAAGGCUUAUGUUGAAUAUUCAGUGUUGUUUUUAGUGUUCACUGAAAAGUGUUUACUUGUCUGAGCCACAAGUGGGGAACCUGUACAGGUUUGGUGCACUCUACAGAAAAGUCAAUGUUAGGUAAGGGGAACAUCAUAACACACAACAAAUUCUCAUUUUAAGGAGAAAGAGGACCACACAGUGCUUCAGUUAAGUUUUUCCUUCCUGUUAUGCCACCAAAAGCAGCAACACCACCCAAGCAGCAUUCUGCAUGCUCUUCCAACACCCAAAAAGUCAGAAGAUGGUACGUUUCCUGCUUAAUAAAAAGAGAAGGUUGUUAAAAAAACAGGAGGCUUGGGUGUUUUUUUUCCCCUCCCUCCAGUAACUGCUACACUUCAAGUCAGUAAAACACACUAGCAGACUGCCAGACAAGCUGCUUCCCCACCAUUGCAAGAAAGUGGGUCAGGUCACUCAUUAAUAAUGGGCAGAUUCACAAAGAAAAAAAAAAAAAAAAAGAGGCAGUCUAGAAAACAGAUGUAAUGCCACUCUUUGCAAAGGUUAAAAGCAUCCAAGCUGCUGUCCCGCUUAUCCUAUCCUAAUUCAAGAUACUGUAUUUUAUGGUAAAUAUAGUUGCGAAGUUUUAUAUAAAAUAUAAAAUACAGGUAAUUGAGGGUUUUCUGGGGAGGGGAUGGUGGUGGUGGUGCAUAUUUUUGGGUUGGUUCUUUUUUCAGAUCUGCCUUUAUACACAGUUAAUCCAACAGCUAGGUAAAAAUAACUGAGCUGGUAGUUCGUCACUACAUGUAAAUCAAGAAACCAGAAGAGGCGAGAUAACGUCUUGGGGGAACAGAAUUAUUCUUAAAAGACGCUAUUCAGAAGACAGCAUAAGACAGACAUUUAAAGGUGAUCUAUGAACUAAACAGCACUUGGUCAUGGGCCAGCAGCUGUGGGGCAAACUGAUGUUACGGAACGAAAUUAUUACUGUGUUCCAACACUAAUUUAUAGAGCUGCAGUUCAUCCAUUAUGCAGAAAAUAAUCAGGGUGGAAUAGAUAAUCAAAAAGCCAUGGAUGGUACCAAUCACACAGAUUCUCUUGAUCAGAACUAGAUGUACAAACAAGGGACAGGGCUAGUCCCUUUUCUUUUUGAAGUAGCAGCUCUGACUUAUGACCCUUUGUGAUGCAUAUUGGUGGUCUUUUAGCAGAUGGGAACUCUACCUCAACAUUACAGGUACCUAUUGCAUGCCGACAGGUAUGUAUUUGAAAUAAAUACCAGUAUAUUCCUCAAAAUUAAGUAGAGGAAAACAGAAUUUGGUAAUUUAGCAUAAGCUAAAUACGUAGGAACACUCAAACCCAGAAGAGUUCAAAUUUCAAAAUUCUCAUUUGCAAAGGAUCUCAAGGAAAGUUUACAAGCUUUAUGUAGAAGACCACCAAGGGCCUUUCCCAGCUGUUCAGCUAUUUGGCAGAUUCUAAUAAAGCAGUAAUAUUCAUGUGCAGCACUAUGAAAUCUAUGACAAACAUGGAUCAAGUCAGCCAGGAAUCUCCAACAACAGAGCUGGUCUACUGGAGACAGAACUAAUGCAAAGCAAGCAAGAUGUAAGAUUUAAAACUGAAAUCUUUUAGCAUUUCUCACUUCUCCAGGAAAAGUGUGUCAGGGGAACAGGAGUCACAUAUUUCAUUUACAUCAGACAUACAUUUGAGAGAGUCAUACACUUAGAAGGCUAGAAUGGGUUUGGUUAGACUAUUUCAAAAGGCAUACUAGUGGAACACCAUCUUUUUUAACAGCUUUUAAUCUUAAGAUCAGUCCAAAGCACCUCUGGUUCAAAAGAAGAGAAUCCCAAACAUUGCAUCUGUGCACCUGAAAAGUUCAACAGUUUCUGCUAUUUACUACUCAAUACUAUGCAGUGAGCAGAGUCCUCUCUCGGUAUUACUACGCUUAUACUGCAUCUAUCAGCUAGGGAUUUGUUUUCAUAUAUAUAUAUUAUAUUAUUUUUAGUCAACUUUCAGGUGAGUAGUCAAAGAAAUAUUUGACUUACUCUUAACAAUAAAAAAUAAGUUAAAUGAAGAAUUAAGACAAAAUUUUCUGUUAAGACCAAAAGCAAACAAAGCUUAUAACUCAGUUUAGUUAAAACAACUCUAAACAAUAUGCAUUUUUGUAGUAUCACUAAGUUGGGAGAGUUGUCUUUAAAAAAAGUUAAUAAAGUAAACCCAACAAAACCCCACAGACCUGUUCUAACAAGGAACUGGUGGUCUGCCUUGCCAACAUCCGUGUUUAAUCCAUACAGAAUUUGUAAACAAGAUGUCAGGCCUUUAGAAGUAAAGGCAAAGAUGUCUUCCUUUAUUACAGUAUUUAAAGGCUAUCACUUAAGUGUGUUUAAUAGCUUGUCAUUUAUAUAAUAAAAACAAGUAUUUGUACAAAGAUGCAGUUUCUUUUUAAAAAAGCAGAUCAGUUGAGUGUUUUGUACUUUAAUAUAUAAACCAAAACAUAAGAAAGCUAUAAAAACAUUAAUGUGUGCUAUGUAUUAAACAUGUAGCCUCAUAUUUUAAUGCUUACAUGUGGAGAUUAAAAAAAUUAUCACAAUGGAAAUUUUACUUUCAAUUAUCAUAAACAGACCAAAAUACAGAGUAGAAACACAUCAUUUCUGAAACUUGACAAUUAGCAUUACUUACUCUCAAACAUCAGCUGGGCUUCAAGUUGUACACCGUAAGCAUAAGCUAACAUUCUACCAAUGGAAGUGUUACAAAAUGCAUUAAGAGAAAAUACUGCCAGUAAAUGAAUGUCUUUCUUAGUCUUUCUUUUUAUCUAGUAAUUAUUUUUUUAAAAGAGAGAGUAUGAAUUGGUUUUAUAGGGUUGGGGUUUUUUGCUGUUCUGCUAUCAAAGGUCUUCUUCAAAACUGUUCUGUGAACAACACAGUCACAUUUCAACUAAAUAAAAAGACAAAUAAUAACAGACCAGCUGCUUUUUACAUUUUAAUAAUUGUAAUUCCCCAAUGCUAUUCUUCCUUUCUGCAAAGGGAAAUCGUUUUAUUUGGCACAUUAAGGAUAA